Cynara cardunculus var. scolymus (artichoke) is the source of this 372-nucleotide long non-coding RNA. RefSeq lists it as uncharacterized. The record is from RefSeq and is a predicted model, not a curated record. NCBI's taxonomy places the organism in Eukaryota, Viridiplantae, Streptophyta, Magnoliopsida, Asterales, Asteraceae. The transcript has 2 exons.
AGUUUUUGCAAACUUCCAUGGCUGAUCUCUUCCAAGGAUUCCAAUUUCAAGUAAUUCAUGGUAGAUUCUGGUUCUCGAGAUCGACGAUUGCCGCUACAUGCUGCUGUGACGACAGUCGAGGUAGUGGUGGUUGGACCGCCGCUCAAAACCGCCGCUAAAACGACGGUCAAGACGUAGACCAACAUGGUGCUAUCCUUACCUGAGCUUUUACCCUUUUGUUCUCUUUUGUGUUUUUUUGACUUGUUGUCUUUUUUUUUUCCUUAGUGAUUCUGUUUUUUCUUGACCUUGUAAGACCUUUUCUUGACCUUGUAAGACCCGAUGACUUCUUUUCUCUUUUCGACUCUUGUCGUAUUUUGGACUGUGGUUUUUCCA